CCUGGGAUAACACUGACGUUCAUGCCCGAAAGCGUGGGUAGCAAACAGGAUUAGAUACCCUGGUAGUCCACGCCCUAAACGAUGUCGAUUAGCUGUUGGGCAGCUUGACUGCUUAGUAGCGAAGCUAACGCGUGAAAUCGACCGCCUGGGGAGUACGGUCGCAAGAUUAAAACUCAAAGGAAUUGACGGGGACCCGCACAGGCGGUGGAUGAUGUGGAUUAAUUCGAUGCAACGCGAAGAACCUUACCUGGUCUUGACAUGUACGGAACCCUCCAGAGACGGAGGGGUGCCUUCGGGAGCCGUAACACAGGUGCUGCAUGGCUGUCGUCAGCUCGUGUCGCGAGAUGUUGGGUUAAGUCCCGCAACGAGCGCAACCCUUGUCAUUAGUUGCCAUCAUUAAGUUGGGCACUCUAAUGAGACUGCCGGUGACAAGCCGGAGGAAGAUGGGGAUGACGUCAAGUCCUCAUGGCCCUUAUGACCAGGGCUUCACACGUCAUACAAUGGUCGGUACAGAGGGUAGCCAAGCCGCGAGGUGGAGCCAAUCUCACAAAACCGAUCGUAGUCCGGAUUGCACUCUGCAACUCGAGUGCAUGAAGUCGGAAUCGCUAGUAAUCGCAGGUCAGCAUACUGCGGUGAAUACGUUCCCGGGUCUUGUACACACCGCCCGUUACACCAUGGGAGUGGGGGAUACCAGAAGUAGGUAGGGUAACCGCAAGGAGCCCGC
RNAcentral lists this ribosomal RNA (724 nucleotides) under uncultured bacterium. RNAcentral's name for it is "bacterial SSU rRNA". It matches the Rfam family "Bacterial small subunit ribosomal RNA", at positions 728 to 1453 of the family's 1533-position model. The record is from RNAcentral.